GAUGAACGCUGGCGGCGUGCUUAACACAUGCAAGUCGAACGGAGUUGUCUCGCUGAAGCGAGCUUGCUCAAAUCUUGAGACAACUUAGUGGCGGACGGGUGAGUAACGCGUGGGUAACCUGCCAUAUACAGGGGGAUAACACUUAGAAAUAGGUGCUAAUACCGCAUAAGCGCACAGUUUCGCAUGAAACAGUGUGAAAAACUCCGGUGGUAUAUGAUGGACCCGCGUCUGAUUAGCUAGUUGGUAAGGUAACGGCUUACCAAGGCGACGAUCAGUAGCCGGCCUGAGAGGGUGACCGGCCACAUUGGGACUGAGACACGGCCCAAACUCCUACGGGAGCAGCAGUGGGGAAUAUUGCACAAUGGGGGAAACCCUGAUGCAGCGACGCCGCGUGAGUGAAGAAGUAUUUCGGUAUGUAAAGCUCUAUCAGCAGGGAAGAAAAUGACGGUACCUGACUAAGAAGCCCCGGCUAACUACGUGCCAGCAGCCGACGG
This 494-nucleotide ribosomal RNA is filed under the name uncultured bacterium. RNAcentral describes it as "bacterial SSU rRNA". It matches the Rfam family "Bacterial small subunit ribosomal RNA", at positions 28 to 520 of the family's 1533-position model. The record is from RNAcentral.